Molecule: ribosomal RNA, 406 nt
Filed under: uncultured bacterium
Lineage: Bacteria
Description: partial 16S ribosomal RNA
Rfam family: Bacterial small subunit ribosomal RNA
Source: RNAcentral
AUUGAACGCUGGCGGCAGGCCUAACACAUGCAAGUCGAACGAGUGGCGGACGGGUGAGUACUGUCUGGGAAACUGCCUGAUGGCGGGGGAUAACUACUGGAAACGGUAGCUAAUACCGCAUACCAUCGGAUGUGCCCAGAUGGGAUUGGCUAGUCGGUGGGGUAACGGCUCACCUAGGCGACGAUCCCUAGCUGGUCUGAGAGGCUGACCAGCCACACGGGAACUGAGACACGGUCCAGACUCCUACGGGAGGCAGCAGUGGGGAAGAUUGCACAAUGGGCGAAAGCCUGAUGCAGCCAUGCCGCGUGUAUGAAGAAGGCCUGCGGGUUGUAAAGGACUGUCAGCGGGGAGGCGUUACCCGCAGAAGAAGCACCGGCUAACUCCGUGCCAGCAGCCGCGGUAAUAC